GAUAAACCAUAAUGGAAAAGAAUAUAAAAAAGAACGUAUAUGUGUAUAUAACUGAGUUACUUUACUAUACAGCAGAAAUUAACACAACGUAAAUCAACUAUACUUCAAUUCUAAAAAAUCAAUGAAAAAAUUGUAAAUCAACUAUAUUUUAAUAAAAUUUCUUAAAAAUAAAAAAAACAAACAAAGUCCAUUUCAUAGUUGUCCUUUUCUACAUGGUCUCCCUGACUUCUAGCUCUUUUUUCAAUAAUAUUCACUCCCUCUGCAAUGCUCUUAACAAACUAUUUGUUCCUGCUAUUAGUACUCGCCUUAUCUGGCUCUCGGUUAGAAUGAGUGUGUUAUAGUCGCCUCUCCCUCUAGGUGGCAGCCUCCAGGCCAGCAGGGGCAAUCUGUCUUCUCACCCUUGUGAGCUGCGGUGCCCACCCCAAGUUUGUGGCGGGUUCUCAGAACCAGUGGCUGAAGGAAUAAAUUCAAACAAUUCUCUGAGGUUUGAACUAACGAAUCUCUGAGAACAAGAUGAGAGGGAAAGUCACAAGUUGUAACAGACUUUUUCAAAGCUGCAGGGGGCCACAAGUCCCCUCCAACCCAACCAGAUUUUCCGAGCCUGUGGGAUCUUGCAGGUUUCUAUUCCAGGCAUGCCAGUGGAUCCCUGCUGGCCUCAACCCCAGGACAAAGAAAAUGAAGCUGUGAACAUUGCACCAACAAUGAAAGGAAGAUUAGAAAUGUGAAUUUAAAAGUCAAGCGCCCAAGAACCCCAGCUAUCUCAUCAACACUUCAGAUGCCUCAGAAAUGCAUUGGAAUUUUUAAAAAUUGAUUCUACGAAUCUCCCCCUUCCACUUCUCUCCUGACCACGUGGGAUUUGCAGCAGGAUACACACGAUAUAGACACAUCCCCUGAAGUGUAAUAGAUUUGAAUUGCACACAAGUUGGUGAAUGAAUGUCUAAAUAAUUAGGAGGUUAAUUAAUCUAAAAUAGAGGAGGAUGAGAGAAAUUUGAAGCUACAGAUUCAACAGAGAGAUCUGCAGGCCUGUCUUGCCAGUGAAAAUACGGAGAGGUGAGAGACUGCAGCUAUUUAAGACGGUAACAGAUACAGUUAUGCAAAAGGACGUCAGAUUCCUCAGGACCCAUCGACUGGGCUGUGUGGUGCUUGUGGUCAAGAGGCCCCUCGGUAGCAGAGAUCAAGAACACAGAUGCUAAAGCUGAACAAUCGAGGUUCAAAUUCAAGUUUUGCUGCGUAUUCACUUUGUGACCUUGGGCAAAUUAUUUAAUCUCUCUGAACCUCAGUCUUCUUAUCUAUAAACCGGAUGACGUUAAUAGCACCCAACCUCACAGUGUUGUUGUAAUGAUUAAUUAAGCCCAUAUAUAUAGAACAUUCCAAAUACAUAAUGAAAUCUUAGUAAAUGUUAGCUAUAACUAGCUGGAAAGCAGUAUGUCCUAGAGAAGUAGCCCUCUCAAAUUUUUUGACUACGAGUCAUGGUAAGAAAUAUAUUUUCCAUCAUCACUCAGAACAUACAAACAUACGUGUUAUAGCUGUAUAUAUGGAUGUAUGUGUGUGUAUAUAUAUAUAUGGGUGUGUGUAUAUAUGGAUAUACAUAUGUAUAUUUCAUUAAACACAAGUUAUCCUUACCCAA
This is a long non-coding RNA of Orcinus orca (killer whale), 1627 nucleotides long. RefSeq lists it as uncharacterized. The record is from RefSeq and is a predicted model, not a curated record. NCBI's taxonomy places the organism in Eukaryota, Metazoa, Chordata, Mammalia, Artiodactyla, Delphinidae. The transcript is spliced from 2 exons.